Molecule: long non-coding RNA, 1904 nt
Organism: Diabrotica virgifera virgifera (western corn rootworm)
Lineage: Eukaryota; Metazoa; Arthropoda; Insecta; Coleoptera; Chrysomelidae
Exons: 2
Source: RefSeq, a predicted model, not a curated record
GAGAGAUAUCGCAAAUGCAUUUUUAUCGCACGCUAAUAGCGGAAUACGCUAUUUUGACAUGUACGCAAGCGCAGAAUGAAUGUUACGCUAAUACCGGAUAGCGUGUCCCGCUAUUUAGGUUGAAAUAAGGGACGGUAAUAACGUUAACGCUAAUUUGACAUUUGGGAUGAAACAUAAAAAUAAUGUAUAGAAUACAAAUUUUAUAAACUAAAUACUGUGAAUCAUCUUAUGUUGAGAAAUACGUGCAUUUUUAUUUUGUCUACAAUAGACUACUUUUUGUGGUUAGGAUAUUAUUUAUUCAGAUAUUUUAUAUUAUUUUUAUACUAACUAUUUAUAUUUAUUGUUGGUUAAAUCAUUAAAAUUAAAAUGCAUGUCAACCAGCUCAAUAUCCAAAUUCAUUUUUCAAAAACAAACAAUUACAGUAUUCCUCAAAAUUAAUUUCUAGGUUACAUUGUAAUACCAAACGUCGGUUGUCAUAAUAACGUUAAGCCCCGCCCCAGAACAUUUGCGAUAACUCUCUUGUUGCCUGUGCUGAAAUAGAACGUUAUACGUUAUUUACGUCUUGACACGAUAUUAUCGUUUGCAUUUGCGAUAUCUCUCUAUUUCCUUAAAUACUUGUAAACCAUUUCUAGAUAUUAUAAAGGCUGUAUGACACUAUACAUUUUCUUGUAUCAUUUCUAAAGUCCACUUUACAUCAACAAUAAAUUGGACAAGAAAUUGACCAAGUUAUUCAAGGCCAAAUUUGACGUGUAAAAGCACACUUUGACAUCUAAGUUUGUUCGUUAUAAACUUCACGUGAAGAAAUUGACGAAAAAGAAAAUUGUUCUAUUUUUUCAUUUAUUUGGCGUGAAUUCAGUGUCACCAACCUGUGUCCAUUUGGCGGGAAGUGGAAGUAGAGCUGUAGAGCUUUUUGUUUAUUAUUAUUUGUUGAGGUUGAGUCUUUCAUGUUCAUGACAACCUAAAAAUUUUGAUUGGAAAAUGCAUAUAAGAUAAGGGGGUGGGAAAAUGGAAAUUAGUGGCUUUUUUGCAAUUCUGUCUGUUAGUUUUGCUCUGGCUGGGUCUCUUUUGUUUAAACAAUUAUAAUCAGCUGAAAGUGGUCUACAAAAAAACCAGGAAGGAAACGUAUUAUAGCCUUGUUGUGGCUAUGAAAGGCAAAAGAAAGAUACCUAUAAAAAGUGUAUUGACUAGUUGGAAGAAACUCCACAUUGUCGAUGCAUAAUAAGAUAUUACUUUAUAAACAAAUAUCAAAACCUAGGAAUGGAACCUGGAUAAUAUAGUCAUCAAGAAGAUAGCAGGAGGUCAUGAGCAACAACAACUUCAUAAGUAUGAGAAUAUUGAGGAAAUCCAGCUCCUCGAUAUCUACUACUGGACAAACUAGAAGAUUGAAGAGGACAAAGCCUUUUGAACUAGUUUGAGUGAUAGGUGAUAGUGAAAAGCAGAGCGUAGUGCUUGUGUGCCUGUGUAUGUUAGAAUAGUGCACGAUCUUGUUAGAUUAGAUAAGAGACGCUAUAGGGUAAGCUCUUCAUUUUAAGGAACAGUAGUAAUUUAGGUUAAAUUAAAAUUGCUCAUUGGUCAGUUAUGACCAGAUUGUAAUUCUCUGAUGUUUGGCAAAAAGGGCUGAAGUCAGAAUUGCACAUCAAUAAUGUUUUGAUGAUUUCUGGACCAUAAAAAAAGUGUUGCAGACUUAAACUGUAUGUACCAAUAAAAAGAGCCGAUUUUUCUGGUCCAGAAAUCAUCAAAACAUUAUCGAUGUGCAAUUCUGACUUAAGCCCUUUUUCCCAAACAUCAGAGAAUUGCAAUGUACAAUUCAAUACAAAUGAAUCAUCAUCGUAGUGAUGAUUAUGGAAAAAAAUAUAUAUAUAUAGAAAUAUAUAUAUUUUGUGCAAUAAAAAUGUUUAUAUUUA